This 70-nucleotide transfer RNA is filed under the name Schistosoma haematobium. RNAcentral describes it as "tRNA-Ala". The record is from RNAcentral. Lineage: Eukaryota; Metazoa; Platyhelminthes; Trematoda; Strigeidida; Schistosomatidae.
GACAGUAUAUUUAAAAUUUUAUAAUGAUUACUCUGCGAGUAAAAGUUGAAUAAAUGUAGUUCUACUGUUG